This 490-nucleotide ribosomal RNA is filed under the name uncultured bacterium. RNAcentral describes it as "bacterial SSU rRNA". It matches the Rfam family "Bacterial small subunit ribosomal RNA", at positions 30 to 513 of the family's 1533-position model. The record is from RNAcentral.
AUUGAACGCUGGCGGCAGGCCUAACACAUGCAAGUCGAGCGGAUGAGUGGAGCUUGCUCCAUGAUUCAGCGGCGGACGGGUGAGUAAUGCCUAGGAAUUUGCCUGGUAGUGGGGGACAACGUUUCGAAAGGAACGCUAAUACCGCAUACGUCCUACGGGAGAAAGCAGGGGACCUUCGGGCCUUGCGCUAUCAGAUGAGCCUAGGUCGGAUUAGCUAGUAGGUGAGGUAAUGGCUCACCUAGGCGACGAUCCGUAACUGGUCUGAGAGGAUGAUCAGUCACACUGGAACUGAGACACGGUCCAGACUCCUACGGGAGGCAGCAGUGGGGAAUAUUGGACAAUGGGCGAAAGCCUGAUCCAGCCAUGCCGCGUGUGUGAAGAAGGUCUUCGGAUUGUAAAGCACUUUAAGUUGGGAGGAAGGGUAGUAACCUAAUACGUUGCUACUUUGACGUUACCGACAGAAUAAGCACCGGCUAACUUCGUGCCAGCA